ACGUUGGGAUCUGCCCCGAACUCAGGGAUAACCUGCCGAAAGGCAUGGUUAAUACCGGAUAGUCCCGCAAGGGUAAAGCUUUUGCGGUUCGGGAGGAACCUGCGGCCUAUCAGCUAGUUGGUGAGGUAACGGCCCACCAAGGCGAUGACAGGUAGCUGGUCUGAGAGGACGACCAGUCACAAUGGAACUGAGACACGGUCCAUACUCCUACGGGAGGCAGCAGUAAAGAAUCUUUCACAAUGGGGGAAACCCUGAUGGAGCAAUACCGCGUGGUCGAUGAAGGUCGAAAGAUCGUAAAGGCCUUUUCUGGGAGAAGAAUUCUGACGGUAUCCCAGGAAUAAGCACCGGCUAACUCCGUGCCAGCAGCCGCGGUAAUACGGAGGGUGCAAGCGUUAUCCGGAAUUACUGGGCGUAAAGCGUCCGCAGGCUGUUUGUUAAGUCAGAUGUUAAAUCUUGGAGCCCAACUUCAAGCCCACAUUUGAAACUAUCAAACUAGAGUACUUCAGAGGUGUGUAGAAUUCUGUGUGUAGGGGUUAAAUCCGUAGAUAUACAGAGGAAUACCAAAAGCGAAAGCAGCACACUGGGAAGUAACUGACGCUCAGGGACGAAAGCGUAGGUAGCGAACGGGAUUAGAUACCCCGGUAGUCUACGCCGUAAACGAUGGAUACUAGGUGUUGGAGGUCUCGACCCCUUCAGUGCCGAAGCUAACGCAUUAAGUAUCCCGCCUGGGAAGUACGAACGCAAGUUUAAAACUCAAAGGAAUAGACGGGGACCCACACAAGCGGUGGAGCACCUGGUUUAAUUCGACAAUAAGCGAGGAACCUUACCUGGACUUGACAUCCCGAGAAUUUCCUAGAAAUAGGAAAGUGCCUUCUGGAACUCGGUGACAGGUGCUGCAUGGUUGUCGUCAGCUCGUGCCUUGAGGUGUACGGUUAAGUCCGUUAAGGAGCGCAACCCAUCUCUUAUGUUGUUUUUUCUUAAGAGACGGCCGAUUCAAAGUCGGAGGAAGGU
RNAcentral lists this ribosomal RNA (1011 nucleotides) under uncultured organism. Its description in RNAcentral is "bacterial SSU rRNA". It matches the Rfam family "Bacterial small subunit ribosomal RNA", at positions 115 to 1174 of the family's 1533-position model. The record is from RNAcentral.